Molecule: long non-coding RNA, 1794 nt
Organism: Homo sapiens (human)
Lineage: Eukaryota; Metazoa; Chordata; Mammalia; Primates; Hominidae
Source: Ensembl
GGGCAGCACUAGCACUCUGGAGAAGGUCUGCCGCUGUCUGCACUUUCCUGGUUCUAUGCAGGCAGAUGAGUGUCACAGCUGUAACUGAGGCACAGAGCAGUACACACAGUGGAGCCGAUUUCCGCGAUGGCGAGAGGGGGCACCGGAGGUGACAACAAUAACAAGACUGUCCUUCGGACAAGUUUUAGAUUCUCAGGAUGAUGGAGUGAGUGAUGGAAUAGGUUGCCAACUGUAGUUACUCCACUCAGCACAGAAUGGCUGCGGGGAAAUAUAAUCAGACAUGCCCAAAGAAGUCUGCUUAGGGUGAAACAAAUACCUUUGAGGUUUAAAUCAGGAAGGAGAGACUGUUUCUACAGGUGUCAUACAAAAAUCAAUACUGAGCCAAGGAUUAUUGGAUCCCAUAGAACCACGGAGACUUGGUAGUGAAAUUCUUCCAAAGCAUUCCAUCCGUGCAGGCAGAUGGUGUUCCUAGGUUUGGAAAUAUAAAUCCCAUGGGAAGUCAGCUGAAGACCAUUUUAUGCAUCACUCAUCCUGUUAGAGCCCUGUGCUGUUCUGUCUCUCUAUAAGACUGGCUGAAACCACCACGGUUGUUUACAAUUUAUGCUCUAACUUUGGAUCACCUAGUUAAUACUCUAACUCCGAUUAUUACCAAAGACAAUGUUCUAUAAAAGAUAUUGUCUAUUAGAAGGAUGCUUCUGCAUUAUUAAUAAAAUCACAGGGAAAAUGCAACAUUUUGGAUGUCACAUCUGAUAAGUUGGCAGUUAAAGAACAGAAACAGCAAUAAGACUGCGUGGCUACAUUUUCCCAGUGCCACCAACUGGGAUUUAAGCUGACUAACAUUUUGAAAGCCCAGCCCAUUUCAUUCACAGCAGGAUGGCAGUGGGUGACUGAUCGUACCCGCCAGCUGGCUAAUGUCAUAAUUAACAAAGUUGCUACUACAUCUGCAAAGUUUAAUCGAAAAAUUUGCCAGUGAUAUGAUGGCCUUGUCACAGAGAUCACAAGGGACACGGAGUUGACUUUUGCUCAAGGUGGAACGACAGAGCUGUGUAGGCAAGAUGAGAAAUUGCGAACUUGUUCGGCCAAAGGAGGCUAAUAAUGAAGGGGCCGGGAAGGAGGCCAGUGCUACCAGGGUUAUCUCACAACCUCAGAUGCUGGAUAAGUCGACGGAGGCAGAAUCGCUUUGGGAUGACAUUCAGAAAGCCUGGAGUGAUUACUUGCAAGAGAAAAGCCUACCUAUUCUUUCCAAGGUGCAGGAAUAUUCCCCUGACCUGCUCAUCCAGUGGUCCAGUAAUGAAUUACUGGAGACCUGCCUUAGACAAAGAAUGCACUCGGAGCCCCAACACACCUAAAGCCAUGCUUUGAAGGAUCUGCCAAGCUCACUUUUAAUCAUGAGAAAGAAAUUACCCACACGGAGUCAGCAGAAAAUGAGAAAGUAGAGCUCGUGCUGUGAAUAAUUCCAGCAAGUGCCAAGGGGCUAGUUGAGGAAUGGCUUCAUGAGAUGUUAGUCUAAAACAGCACCUUGGAUCUAAGCAGCACCUUUGAGAAAGAAAAGACUGCUUCAAGAAUGUCUAGUUGCACCUCCUUUCCGUAUGUGGCCUAAAUGCCUAGGUUGGAUCAAUAGUUUAAUUUUUUUAUUGAACUGUUUAAUAUUGACUAUGGACUUACAUUCACUUUUACUGUUUUCUGUAUAUUUACUUUUGCUUGAAGUGUUUUAAUAUUGACUAUUUACCUCUGCUCAUUUUUAUUGAUUUUCUGUAUUUUUUCAAUGAAAAUUAUAAUAAAAAUUAUUUUUGU